This 246-nucleotide ribosomal RNA is filed under the name uncultured Bacillota bacterium. RNAcentral describes it as "uncultured Firmicutes bacterium partial 16S ribosomal RNA". It matches the Rfam family "Bacterial small subunit ribosomal RNA", at positions 796 to 1041 of the family's 1533-position model. Lineage: Bacteria; Bacillati; Bacillota. The record is from RNAcentral.
CACACUGUAAACGAUGAAUGCUAGGUGUAGGGGGUAUCGACCCCUUCUGUGCCGGAGUUAACACAAUAAGCAUUCCGCCUGGGGAGUACGGCCGCAAGGUUGAAACUCAAAGGAAUUGACGGGGGCCCGCACAAGCAGCGGAGCAUGUGGUUUAAUUCGAAGCAACGCGAAGAACCUUACCAGGUCUUGACAUCCAGUAAAAACCUGAGAGAUCAGGUGUGAGCUUGCUCAUACUGAGACAGGUGG